CUUACCGAAGGGCACGGCGCUAUGUGGGUGUGGAGCGGUUGCAUGGCGGUGGGCUGCGCUGCACUGCUGUCCGCCGCGGGACGAUCAGUGGCAGCUCCCUUUAGCACCGUCCAGGCUGCGGGGGCUUGGGCCUCCUGGGUGCUCAUUGCGGGUGCUGACUACCAUUCCUCUGUUGGUGGGGCCCGUGCCCUGCUGCUCUCUCCAAACAGUGCAUAGGCUGCUAAAGAAGGGAAAGCAGCGGGUGUUCAGGCAUUAACCCCCAGACCCCUCUUGGUAGCUAAAUUAAAGUUAAAAUCUUUUAGAAGGAGGUUUCUGCAAAGCUCUCCAAACCUGUAAUUGCCUAGAAGUUCAGAUUGGCCCUAAUGCCUUCACUGAUACAAGUGACAAGUGAACAUCAGAGAACAAAGCUGUGUGAAAUCUUCCAGAGAAGAAAUCAGUUUCUAUCCAAGCAGGAGCAUCCAACUUCAAAAUUAACACUGAGUGUAGAGGUUUUCAGCUGAGGAUCCUGCACUGGUACUUGAGACCCUACACAAGCCUUUUGAGCAAGGACUCCUAGAAGUGAGCAACAUGUUGGAGAGAAUUAAGCAAGCAAGGUCAGAAACUGAACCAUAGAACUCUUGCCUUCUUCAUGGAAAAGAAAACUGUAGGCUUUUUCUGCUGAGUUUGUACUUGUAUUGGACACUUAGCCCAUGGUUAAACCCAAAGACCAUGGUGAAUACUUCAAUGGAGUUGGUUCCACACAGAAUGCUGGAAGGAGAAAGAAGUGAAGAAAUAAAUUUCAUAUUAAUUUCCUGAGAUUUUUUUUUUCUGAUGAGGAUCAUGAAAUUAUACUGUAGCAUGGUCAUCUAUGUAUAGAAGGAAAGCUCAGGAACCUUAACUUGGCAAGGAAACGAGUUGAAGGGGAUGGUAGUUACAAAGGCACAGAUGGUUGAUAUUUGACUUUGCCUGUUCUGCUAAAUAGGACAGAAUGACUUCCUGUGGCAUUUACUGUUGUUGACUGAAAGAAUGGGAAUAAGUUAUCACAGCAAAGAAAAAAGCAGAAUACUCAGUGCAAUAGUCUUUCUGAUGAGAAACUUCUGUUGCUGAAGGGAAUCUGCAAUUCUUUGUCAUAGGACUUAAACUCAUCUUACUUUUGAAAUACUUUUUCUGCACCAGUUCUGCUGAAUCUGGACUGAAGAGAGAAAGGUAAGGGAUUGCUUAACUUUUGAACACAUGUUGUUAUAGCCACGUGUUUUUGGUAAAACUUUCUUUCCUUAUUCCAUAGUUUUAGUUUUCCAGGAUAUUUUCACAUUUCAUACUUAAUUAUCCAGUUUCUAAACUGAAAAAAUCUUCAGUUCCCUAGCAGUGUUUGAAGUUGGAUGUGUGGGUAUUUGCCCUGGGAGAACCAGGACCAAAAUUCUGUACUGCCAAAGUCAAAAUGUUGUAUUUGCAUGACUUAUUUUUUUGA
Molecule: non-coding RNA, 1447 nt
Organism: Cyanistes caeruleus (blue tit)
Lineage: Eukaryota; Metazoa; Chordata; Aves; Passeriformes; Paridae
Source: RefSeq, a predicted model, not a curated record